Musa acuminata AAA Group (dessert banana) is the source of this 1052-nucleotide long non-coding RNA. RefSeq lists it as uncharacterized. The transcript has 3 exons. Lineage: Eukaryota; Viridiplantae; Streptophyta; Magnoliopsida; Zingiberales; Musaceae. The record is from RefSeq and is a predicted model, not a curated record.
CCUCUCUCUCCGGUGUUGAGGCUGAGAUGGCCGCUCCUCUCGGGGUCCCAGGCCUAUCUUCGGAUCGAUUCGCCCUCCCCUGCUUUGCUUCCCUCGCGCAGGCGAGAUCGCUGGUACUGGACGCCCUUGUCGAGAUCAAGCCCGGGGAGAUCGGGAUCGUUUCCGGUGUCCCUCAAGAACAUCUCAACAUCUCCGACGCAGGGUCACAAUACAUUCUCCCGUUCAGACUGCAGCUUUGCAAAUUUCUGGAGUUGGAAAGUGGAAAUUGAGUUUUGUAUCAACACAAAUCAACUCAAAACCGGACUAAAUUCGAUCAGAGGUAAAUUGAUUAAAGCGGGAGGAAUCAGAUGGUGAGUCAGAGUUGAACAUAUCAGAAUAUUGGACAUCGGGCCGGAAGAUCAGUCGAUAUGUCAACAGAAGGUUUUGAUUCGUAAAUUCGAUCAUCGGGCCAGGAAGAUCGGACAUUGCGCUAAGGAGAUCGGAUGUUGCGAGAAGACAACAUGCUGAUAGGGUAAUACGCUGAAAGAGAUGGACGAUGCGUCAAAGGAUCAGACGAAGCGUCGGAAGAACCAAUGACAUGUCGGAUAAUAUAGGAUUCGAUUGUAAUCGAUUAUGUGUAGAUCGAGUUAGUUUAGAGUUUAAUUGAGUCGGUUUAGAAUAUAAUUAGGUCAACUGGGCCCAAAGUGGGAUUGUUUUGGGAAGAAAACAAUACAUUCAAUGAUCCAAAAAUUGGGUUAGGCGAUGACACCAUCGGUCCAAGCGGUGACACCACCAGUGGCUCAGUAUAUAAGACACGGUCUUCAAGACUAUGUCAGGCGGUAGUACUACUCUCUCCCAAACUGUGUUAGGUGAUGGUACCAUCCAAUGUGUAGGCAAUGGUACCAUCAGUACCAAAAAAAAUCGGGAUGAGAUACUUUUUAGCUAUUCACUUUAAUACAUAAUUUAGAUUCUGAUUUAGGUUAUCUUUAAUAACAGCAUUAGCUAGUAGGGUUAGAAAUUGUAUUAAUGGCAGUCUGAUGGACCGUAAGUCAAUUAAGAUUAAUGAUGUAAGG